This 460-nucleotide ribosomal RNA is filed under the name uncultured bacterium. Its description in RNAcentral is "bacterial SSU rRNA". It matches the Rfam family "Bacterial small subunit ribosomal RNA", at positions 340 to 786 of the family's 1533-position model. The record is from RNAcentral.
UACGGAAGGCAGCAGUGGGGAAUAUUGGACAAUGGGCGCAAGCCUGAUCCAGCCAUGCCGCGUGUGUGAAGAAGGCCUUUUGGUUGUAAAGCACUUUAAGCGAGGAGGAGGCUCUCUUAGUUAAUACCUAAGAUGAGUGGACGUUACUCGCAGAAUAAGCACCGGCUAACUCUGUGCCAGCAGCCGCGGUAAUACAGAGGGUGCGAGCGUUAAUCGGAUUUUACUGGGCGUAAAGCGUGCGUAGGCGGCUUUUUUAAGUCGGAUGUGAAAUCCCCGAGCUUAACUUGGGAAUUGCAUUCGAUACUGGGAAGCUAGAGUAUGGGAGAGGAUGGUAGAAUUCCAGGUGUAGCGGUGAAAUGCGUAGAGAUCUGGAGGAAUACCGAUGGGCGAAGGCAGCCAUCUGGGCCUAAUACUGACGCUGAGGUACGAAAGCAUGGGGAGGCAAACAGGAUUAGAUACC